AGCAGCCGCGGUAAUUCCAGCUCCAAUAGCGUAUAUUAAAGUUGUUGCAGUUAAAAAGCUCGUAGUUGAAUUUCGGGAUCAGUACGCUGGUCGUGCCUUCGGUAUGCACUGGUCUCACUGAUUCCUCCCUUCUGAAGAACCGUAAUGCCAUUCAGUUGGUGUGGCGGGGAAUCAGGAUUGUUACUUUGAAAAAAUUAGAGUGUUUAAAGCAGGCUCGCGCUUGAAUACAUUAGCAUGGAAUAAUGAAAUAGGACGUUUGAUCCUAUUUUGUUGGUUUCUAGGAUCGACGUAAUGAUUAAUAGGGAUAGUUGGGGGCAUUAGUAUUCAAUUGUCAGAGGUGAAAUUCUUGGAUUUAUUGAAGACUAAACUACUGCGAAAGCAUUUGCCAAGGAUGUUUUCAUUAAUCAAGAACGAAAGUUAGGGGAUCGAAGACGAUCAGAUACCGUCGUAGUCUUAACCAUAAACUAUGCCGACUAGGGAUCGGAUGAUGUUAAUUUUUUAAUGUACU
This 508-nucleotide ribosomal RNA is filed under the name uncultured Glomus. RNAcentral describes it as "SSU rRNA". It matches the Rfam family "Eukaryotic small subunit ribosomal RNA", at positions 569 to 1080 of the family's 1831-position model. The record is from RNAcentral. Lineage: Eukaryota; Fungi; Glomeromycota; Glomeromycetes; Glomerales; Glomeraceae.